This 497-nucleotide ribosomal RNA is filed under the name uncultured bacterium. RNAcentral describes it as "partial 16S ribosomal RNA". It matches the Rfam family "Bacterial small subunit ribosomal RNA", at positions 28 to 507 of the family's 1533-position model. The record is from RNAcentral.
GAUGAACGCUGGCGGCGUGCCUAAUACAUGCAAGUCGAGCGAACAGACGAGGAGCUUGCUCCUCUGACGUUAGCGGCGGACGGGUGAGUAAAACGUGGAUAACCUACCUAUAAGACUUGGAUAACUUCGGGAAACCGGAGCUAAUACCGGAUAAUAUAUUGAACCGCAUGGUUCAAUAGUGAAAGACGGUUUUGCUGUCACUUAUAGAUGGAUCCGCGCCGCAUUAGCUAGUUGGUAAGGUAACGGCUUACCAAGGCAACGAUGCGUAGCCGACCUGAGAGGGUGAUCGGCCACACCGGAACUGAGACACGGUCCAGACUCCUACGGGAGGCAGCAGUAGGGAAUCUUCCGCAAUGGGCGAAAGCUUGACGGAGCAACGCCGCGUGAGUGAUGAAGGUCUUCGGAUCGUAAAACUCUGUUAUUAGGGAAGAACAAAUGUGUAAGUAACUAUGCACGUCUUGACGGUACCUAAUCAGAAAGCCACGGCUAACUACGUG